AUUGAACGCUGGCGGCAUGCUUUACACAUGCAAGUCGAACGGUAACAGGCCGCAAGGUGCUGACGAGUGGCGAACGGGUGAGUAAUGCAUCGGAACGUGCCCAGUCGUGGGGGAUAACUACUCGAAAGAGUAGCUAAUACCGCAUACGAUCUAUGGAUGAAAGCGGGGGACCGUAAGGCCUCGCGCGAUUGGAGCGGCCGAUGUUAGAUUAGGUAGUUGGUGGGGUAAAGGCUCACCAAGACAACGAUCUGUAGCUGGUCUGAGAGGACGACCAGCCACACUGGGACUGAGACACGGCCCAGACUCCUACGGGAGGCAGCAGUGGGGAAUUUUGGACAAUGGGCGCAAGCCUGAUCCAGCAAUGCCGCGUGCAGGAAGAAGGCCUUCGGGUUGUAAACUGCUUUUGUACGGAACGAAACGGCUCUGGUUAAUACCCGGGGCUAAUGACGGUACCGUAAGAAUAAGCACCGGCUAACUACGUG
RNAcentral lists this ribosomal RNA (482 nucleotides) under uncultured bacterium. Its description in RNAcentral is "partial 16S ribosomal RNA". It matches the Rfam family "Bacterial small subunit ribosomal RNA", at positions 30 to 507 of the family's 1533-position model. The record is from RNAcentral.